Molecule: ribosomal RNA, 264 nt
Filed under: uncultured bacterium
Lineage: Bacteria
Description: partial 16S ribosomal RNA
Rfam family: Bacterial small subunit ribosomal RNA
Source: RNAcentral
GUCCGCACAGUAAACGAUGAAUGCUAAUUGUUCGGAGGGAAUGACCUCUGAGUGAUACAGUGAAAACGUUAAGCAUUCCACCUGGGGAGUACGCCGGCAACGGUGAAACUCAAAGGAAUUGACGGGGGCCCGCACAAGCGGAGGAACAUGUGGUUUAAUUCGAUGAUACGCGAGGAACCUUACCCGGGCUCAAACGACACAGGAAUUACUUUGAAAGGAGGUAAGCCAGCAAUGGUCUGUGUCGAGGUGCUGCAUGGUUGUCGU